Non-coding RNA from Danio rerio (zebrafish), 117 nucleotides. The record is from Rfam. Lineage: Eukaryota; Metazoa; Chordata; Actinopteri; Cypriniformes; Danionidae.
AGCCACAGCCAUAUCACCCUGCAGCCCAAGACCGGUUACUCACUGAAGCUAAGCAGGGCUGAGCCUGGUUAGUACCUGGAUGGGAGACCACUAGGGAGCACCAGGUUGCUGUUGGAA